CCUACGGGUGGCAGCAGUCGAGAAUCAUUCACAAUGGGGGAAACCCUGAUGGUGCGACGCCGCGUGGGGGAAUGCAGGUCUUCGGAUUGUACACCCCUGUCAUGUGGGAGCAAAUUAAAAAGAUAGUACCACAAGAGGAAGAGACGGCUAAUUCUGUGCCAGCAGCCGCGGUAAUACAGAGGUCUCAAGCGUUGUUCGGAAUCACUGGGCGUAAGGCGUGCGUAGGCUGUUUCGUAAGUCGUGUGUGAAAGGCGCGGGCUCAACCCGCGGACGGCACAUGAUACUGGGAGACUUGAGUAAUGGCGAGGGAACCGGAAUUCGCGGUGUAGCAGUGAAAUGCGUAGAUAUCGAGAGGAACACUCGUGGCGAAGGCAGGUUCCUGGACAGUAACUGACGCUGAGGCACGAAGGCCAGGGUAGCGAAAGGGAUUAGAUACCCCAGUAGUC
This 446-nucleotide ribosomal RNA is filed under the name uncultured bacterium. RNAcentral's name for it is "partial 16S ribosomal RNA". It matches the Rfam family "Bacterial small subunit ribosomal RNA", at positions 338 to 795 of the family's 1533-position model. The record is from RNAcentral.